RNAcentral lists this long non-coding RNA (752 nucleotides) under Hordeum vulgare. RNAcentral's name for it is "long non-coding RNA (HVUL_LNC012867)". Lineage: Eukaryota; Viridiplantae; Streptophyta; Magnoliopsida; Poales; Poaceae. The record is from RNAcentral.
GGGACGCAAGACUGAUCUUGAUGUCCAUGGCCCAUGUAGGGUAAUUGUGGCCAUCGAGGGCAAGUUCCUCAAAUUCUUUGGCAGUCAUCUUUGCCUACAUGGAGAACCAGAGAUAAUUAAUUUACGGGUGGUAAAUUAAAAACCCUCAUGGUUGUGUAAUAAGAAUGCAAAAAUUUGAUAGUCAAGUGUAAAAACUUGAAAAAUUUCUCAACCUCAAUUGUGUGAACGUAACACAUUGAAGAUCACUUAGAUCUCACAGUAAUAGGCUGCAUGGCCAUUACCUUGUGUAUGCUACAAUUUAGAUAUAAGGAAUACACUUGAAGGUAAUCGCUUGUCGAGAUUUACAAAGCGUAGACCUCACAGUAAGAGAGGAUAGUCUGCACAUGUGCAGUAGAUCACAACUCAUUACCUUAUGAUUCCAAAUAAGACGAGGGAGAAAUAUUCAAAAAUUUGCAAGUUUGAGAUGCGAGAGAAGCUAAUCUCAAUCACAAUAAGAAACAUGUUCAAAAAUAUGUGGUAAACACAUGGAACAUGCCAUUUUUCCCAGAUGAAAUCCGGUACUUUAUUUAUAUCAUCAAUCCAUUGCAUAAUAUAAACACACUUAUAAUUACACAAAUCUUAAACUAGAGUAAAUCUAGAACUAGACUAAGUGUAAAUAGUAGUACUAAAAUAGUAGUGCUAAAUAUAGUCUAAAACUAUACUAUGUACACUAACUAGUGCUAACUAGUACUAAAUAGAGAAAUAAGAAAGAG